Molecule: RNase P RNA, 361 nt
Filed under: candidate division TM6 bacterium JCVI TM6SC1
Lineage: Bacteria
Description: Bacterial RNase P class A
Rfam family: Bacterial RNase P class A
About the family: Ribonuclease P (RNase P) is a ubiquitous endoribonuclease, found in archaea, bacteria and eukarya as well as chloroplasts and mitochondria. Its best characterised activity is the generation of mature 5'-ends of tRNAs by cleaving the 5'-leader elements of precursor-tRNAs. Cellular RNase Ps are ribonucleoproteins.
Source: Rfam by way of RNAcentral
GUGGGUAACCAAGACAAUCGCUAUCAGGAUAUUUAUACUUGAUAGAGGAAAGUCCGGACUCCUAACGAAUAAGACACCUUGGGAGACUUGGUAAAACAAGUACAAUCAAGGAGGACGCAAGUCCAUGGAAAGUGCCACAGAAAAUAACCGCCUUAAACGGUAAGGGUGAAAACGGGUGGUAAGAGCACCCGAUUAUAUGUAGCAAUACAUAUGAUGGGUAAACCCUGUCUGGAGCAAGACAAAGUAGGCAUGUACAGUAGUUCGUUCUGAUUUAAACAUGCGGGUAUGUCGCGUAGAUAAAUGAUUGUCGCGUUUGUAGUAUACAAAUGAACAGAAUCCGGCUUAUUGGUUAGCCACCUUA